GACGAACGCUGGCGGCGUGCUUAACACAUGCAAGUCGAACGGAAAGGCCCUGCUUUCGUGGGGUGCUCGAGUGGCGAACGGGUGAGUAACACGUGAGUAACCUGCCCUUGACUUUGGGAUAACUUCAGGAAACUGGGGCUAAUACCGGAUAGGAGCUCCUGCUGCAUGGUGGGGGUUGGAAAGUUUCGGCGGAUGGGGAUGGACUCGCGUCUUAUCAGCUUGUUGGUGGGGUAGUGGCUUACCAAGGCUUUGACGGGUAGCCGGCCUGAGAGGGUGACCGGCCACAUUGGGACUGUGAUACGGCCCAGACUCCUACGGGAGGCAGCAGUGGGGAAUACUGCACAAUGGGCGGAAGCCUGAUGCAGCAACGCCGCGUGCGGGAUGACGGCCUUCGGGUUGUAAACCGCUUUCGCCUGUGACGAAGCGUGAGUGACGGUAAUGGGUAAAGAAGCACCGGCUAACUACGUG
Molecule: ribosomal RNA, 468 nt
Filed under: uncultured bacterium
Lineage: Bacteria
Description: partial 16S ribosomal RNA
Rfam family: Bacterial small subunit ribosomal RNA
Source: RNAcentral